This is a long non-coding RNA of Pungitius pungitius (ninespine stickleback), 560 nucleotides long. RefSeq lists it as uncharacterized. The record is from RefSeq and is a predicted model, not a curated record. NCBI's taxonomy places the organism in Eukaryota, Metazoa, Chordata, Actinopteri, Perciformes, Gasterosteidae. The transcript has 3 exons.
CCUAGAUCAACACACAGCAGUGUUCCUGUUGUACUGGGAACAAUGGUGUGAUGUUUACAGCCGCAGGAAUGAGGAGGUGGCCCCACUGUCCCUGAACGUGUCCUAAAGUGUCCCUUUGGAGAAGGACUGAUGAGACAAAAGAGACAACGCGCUUUAAAGCGUCCUGAAGCAGAAAGAAGCGAGAUGUUUCCUCUCAAUCUUCUGACAACCCUGAAGGACAUAAACCUGUCAGAAGGUCUCUGAUGUGAGCUGCCCCCCCCUCACACAAACCCGUGAAUCCAGGAUGUGCGAGUGAGCUGAACCAGAUGCUCUCACCAAGAAGUUUACUAAUCAUUUGAAUAAAUGAAACUAAAAAUCAUUUCAGUUUCUACUUCAAAGGUUUUGAUAUUUUUUUAAAUCCGUCAGGACGAAGUUUCGUUCCUCUUCAUGUCGACAUUCACUCACCGGCUCUCUGGAGGAGAUCAUUGAUACGACGUCAUCGCCAUCAGACUCUGGGAUGGACUCCAUGAAACCCGCUGCAGGAACCCGAAGGUCUUCAGUGAGCCCACAGACCAGAUCAG